RNAcentral lists this long non-coding RNA (3926 nucleotides) under Olea europaea subsp. europaea. The record is from RNAcentral. Lineage: Eukaryota; Viridiplantae; Streptophyta; Magnoliopsida; Lamiales; Oleaceae.
AAAUUUGGCUCCUUAAUAAUUCAUAUAACUUUUUUUUUUUUGAUAAAUAAUCAAGUGUUUUAUUAAUUAAAAGGUAAUACACAGGAAGUGUAUUAUACACUUAAACAAGAAAUAAAUGUCAUGAAGUUAGGCAGUCCAUCUAUGUAACUCGAAGCUACAGCACUAAACCAAUUAUACAAUGUCAAAUAAAAUAAUUCUCUAAACUGUUCUAAAGUCUUCGUCUGAUCAUUAAAACAGCGCCCGUUUCUUUCUCUCCACACGCACCAAACAAUGCAGUCUGGAAUAAGAUCCCAAACGAGUUUACUGUCCUUGUCACGAAACUUUCUCCUCCAAACCUUCAACAAAUCUUCCAUAUGUCGUGGCAUCACCCAAUCCAAAUGUUGAGAAGCCAAAAUAUCAUUCCACAGCAAACGGGCACCAUCACAAUGCAGGAACAAAUGGUCAAUUAUUUCCCCAUCCUUUCUGCACAUAUGACACUAAUUUGUAAUAUAAAACCCCUCAAUCGAAGAUUGUCCGCUGUUAAAACUUGUCUUCUCACUACCGUCCAUAGUAAAAACGCCACCCUUGGAGGCAGUUUACACUUCCAUACCAUCUUCCAAGGGAAUAAAUUCUCCGCAAAUCCCAAUAAGGAUUUGAAAUAAGUGCUAACUGAGAAAAUGCCAUCCCUUGUCGACAUCCACUUGAUGCGGUCACACUCUCCAACCUUGAUAUGCACGUCAUACAAAGAGGUCAAAAGCACUGUGUAAUCAUCAACUUCCCAAACUUGUAGUCCCCUCCCAAAAACAAUGUUCCAACUAAUGCUCCCGUUAUGUGUAUCUAAUACUUAAUUCACCAUAGCAGAUGGCAUCACGGCAAUACGAUACAAAGAAGGAAAUUGCUCCUUUACCGGUUGAUCAGUACACCAACAGUCAUCCCAAAAGCUGAUAGAGUUGCCAUUCCCCACACCGAAGGUCACUUUAUUUCGGAAGUCACUCCACCCUCGUCGAAUAAACCGCCAUAAACUCACCUCGUAGGUACCACGGCUCUCAACUGAACACCAUCCACCCUCCAUCAUGCCAUAUUUCUCUUCUAUAAUUUCUCUCCAGAAACUCUCGCUCUCCACCCGAAACCGCCAUAACCACUUACCCAACAAGACCUUAUUAAACAACACAAGGCUCCUCAAUCCGAGUUCCCCAACCCUUAAGGGAGAACAAACUGCACCCCAAUUUACUAAAUGAAAUUUCCUCUCCUCUCCUAACCCUUCCUAAAGAAACUCCCUUUGGAUCCUCUCUAGUCUCUUAGCCACUGUAACAGGAAUGGGAAAUAAAGACAAGAAAUAAGUGGGGAGAUUCGAGAGAGUAGACUUGAUAAGAGUAAGGCGACCUCCCUUUAAAAGGUACAUAUGCUUCCAACCCGCUAAUCUCCUCUCCACCCUUUCCACUAUACUGUCCCAAAUGUUUUUACUUUUGAACCUUGCUCCUAAUGGGAGUCCAAGAUAUGUCAUAGGCAACUGUGCAACCCUACAGCCCAAUGUAGCAGCCAACCUUUCCACAUUAUCGACCUCUCCAACAGUAAUGACCUCAGACUUCCCUAAAUUUAUCUUCAUUUCAGAUACGGCUUCGAAGCAUAGAAGCAAACGACGCAAAUUCCCAAAGUGCUCAACGUCAGCGUCACAAAAGAUCAGAGUAUCAUCUGCAAAUAGCAAAUGAGAUAUCUACAGUUGACCAAUCCUAAAGCCCUUUAACAAACUUUGCCCCACAGCCUUUUCAACCAUUUUACUGAAUGCCUCUAUUACAAUAACAAACAGUAAUGGAGACAAAGGAUCCCCUUGUCGCAAUCCUCUACUACUUCGGAAAUGGCCUUCAGGAGUGCCGUUUACCAGAACAGAAGAAGAGACAAUAGAAAUACAAAAUUGAAUCCACUGACACCACUUGGCUCCGAAACCACAUCGCCUGAGCAUAUACAAUAGGAAACCCCAGUUCACGUGAUCAUAGGCCUUUUGAAUAUCAAGUUUACAUAGCAUCCCUGGAGCCCCUUGACGUAGUCUUGAAUCAAUACAUUCAUUUGCUAUGAGAACGGAGUCCAAGAUCUGUCGCCCUUUGACAAAAGCAUUCUGAUAUUUAGACACCACUUUUCCCAGCACCUCCUUUAAUCUAUUAGCCAAAACCUUUGCAAUAAUCUUAUACACCCCACUUACUAGACUGAUAGGUCGAAAAUCCUUAAUGUCUAGUGCUCCUGGUUUUUUUGGGAUCAGCACAAUAAAUGUGGUAUUAGAGCUUUUCAAGAAUCUACCACACUGGAAAAAGUAAGCAAAAACAUCCACAAUAUCCGAACGUAUCACCUCCCAACAAGCCUUGUAGAAUGCGAAGGAGAAUCCGUCCGGUCCUGGGGCUUUGUCAUCAUUCAUACUGAACACCACCUCCCUAAUCUCGUUCUCCCCAAAUGGUCUUUCUAACCAACUGACAUCCUCCUCAGAAAUAGUGGAAAACUCUAGCCCCUCAAGCUCUGGCCUCCAUUCAAACUGCUCCUUAUAAAGGUUUUGGUAGAAACUCACCAUUUGGGUACCAAUAUCCUGUGGGUUCUCAAAAGUUACCCCAUCCACCUCCAGCAUAGAGAUACAAUUAUUGCGCCUGUUGGAAUUGGCUACCCUAUGGAAAAACCGUGUACACUUAUCUCCCUCUCUUAACCACUUGACCCUAGAUUUCUGGCGCCUAGAAAUCUCCUCCAUCUCCACCAACCUCUCCAGGUCACCCCUUAAUUCUUGACGUCACUCCCUCUCGUCCCUUCCCAAUUCUCGACUUUCCUCCUUCCUAUCCAAUUUCUCUAUUUCUAAAGUGCAUUGAUUUUUACGCCAGUUAACAUCCCCCACCUCCUCCUCAUUCCAUCUUUUGAGGUCUCCUUUUAAAGCCUUUAAUUUCUGGUCCAACACAUAACUGGGGGAUCCCCUGAACUUGUAGGAGGCCCACCAAGUCCGUACUCGCUCCCCAAAAUCAUCCACUUUAAGCCGCAUUUUUUCAAACCUAAAAGGCCUUCUCCCGCUAUAUCCCACAUCCCCAGGUAAUGAAAUUGGGAAAUGAUCUGAGUAUACCCUCCCUAGUCUCCUCUGAGCGACAUCUGGGUACUUAGCCUCCCACUCCACAUUAAUCAAGAACCGAUCUAUUCUAGAAUGAACAGGUAGCUCUCGAUUAGAUAACCAAGUAAAAUCUCCCCCCAUCAAAGGCAUAUCCACCAACAUAUUCUCCCUGAUAAAAUCUUAAAAGUCCUCCAUAGCCCCUGUUAGUCUCCCGCCACUAGACUUUUCAGUAGGAAAGCGGACCACAUUAAAGUCACGCCCUAUGCACGUUAGGAGGUUCCACCAAGCCAUCAUACCUGCCAAUUCAUCCCACAAUCCGCCUCUACUUUCAUCAACAUUAGGCCCAUAAACUCCUAUGAACAUCCAAAGAAAUCUAUCCCCAAUAUUUAUAAAUGAGAGGGAUAGGGAAAAAAGCCCUUCACUAACCUCCUCCAACUGAAAGACUCUAGUAUCCCACAUAAUAAGCACCCCUCCUGAAGCCUCCACAAAUUGAUACCCAAUAUGUUGUCCCCCCCCAUAAGCUACUAACAACAGCCCUCGAAACGGUCUCCAACUUUGUCUCCUGUAAGCAAACAAUGUCAGCCUUCCAACCCCUUAAGAGAUUUCGAACACCUAGCCUUUUACCAGCUUCAUUGAGCCCCCUCACAUUCCAGCAAACAAUUUUUGGGAUCAUCUUGACACACUUUCAUCCCUCCCCAUCAAUCCUCUUCUUAACUUACCACUCCUUAUGUUAUAAUUAACCAAGCAUUCAAGCUUUUUAAGUUCACGGUUAUCCUUUCUUCUUGUCUUAUCUGCUGGUGUAUCCAUCCCUUGUCCCUUACUCGCCUCCAACUCCUCAAAUAGUUGCAAGAGCUUAUGUUCAUACCCAUCACAG